RNAcentral lists this ribosomal RNA (496 nucleotides) under uncultured bacterium. Its description in RNAcentral is "partial 16S ribosomal RNA". It matches the Rfam family "Bacterial small subunit ribosomal RNA", at positions 28 to 523 of the family's 1533-position model. The record is from RNAcentral.
GACGAACGCUGGCGGCGUGCUUAACACAUGCAAGUCGAACGAGAAUCUACUGAAAGAGUUUUCGGACAAUGGAAGUAGAGGAAAGUGGCGGACGGGUGAGUAAGGCGUGAGGAACCUGCCUUGAAGAGAGGGACAAACGGUGGAGGUGACUGCUAAGACCGCAUGACGAAUAGCGGUCGCAUGAUCUUUAUGCCAAAGAUUUAUCGCUUCAAGAUGGCCUCGCGUCUGAUUAGCUGGUUGGCGGGUGAACGGCCCACCAGGGCGACGAUCCGUAGCCGGACUGAGAGGUUGACCGGCCACAUUGGGACUGAGAUACGGCCCAGACUCCUACGGGAGGCAGCAGUGAGGAAUAUUGGGCAAUGGGCGCAAGCCUGACCCAGCAACGCCGCUUUAAGGAAGAAGGCUUUCGGGUUGUAAACUUCUUUUAAGAGGGAAGAGCAGAAGACGGUACCUCUAGAAUAAGCCACGGCUAACUACGUGCCAGCCGCCGCCGUAA